RNAcentral lists this ribosomal RNA (399 nucleotides) under uncultured bacterium. RNAcentral describes it as "bacterial SSU rRNA". It matches the Rfam family "Archaeal small subunit ribosomal RNA", at positions 455 to 853 of the family's 1478-position model. The record is from RNAcentral.
GUGCCAGCAGCCGCGGUAACACCGGCAGCUCGAGUGGUAGCCGCGUUUAUUGGGCCUAAAGCGUCCGUAGCCGGUCCGAUAAGUCUCUGGUGAAAGCCCACAGCUUAACUGUGGGAAUCGCUGGAGAUACUAUCGGACUUGAGGCCGGGAGAGGCUGGAGGUACUCCCAGGGUAGGGGUGAAAUCCUAUAAUCCUGGGAGGACCACCUGUGGCGAAGGCGUCCAGCUGGAACGGACCUGACGGUGAGGGACGAAAGCCAGGGGCGCGAACCGGAUUAGAUACCCGGGUAGUCCUGGCCGUAAACGAUGCGGACUUGGUGUUGGGACGGCUUUGAGCUGUCCCAGUGCCGAAGGGAAGCUGUUAAGUCCGCCGCCUGGGAAGUACGGCCGCAAGGCUGAA